UACGAAGGGAGCGAGCGUUGUUCGGAAUCACUGGGCUUAAAGCGUGCGUAGGUGGAUUGGUAAGUAAGGAGUGAAAUCCCAGGGCUUAACCCUGGAACUGCUCUUUAGACUGCCUGUCUGGAAUUCGGUAGAGGUUGGUGGAACUCCCAGUGUAGAGGUGAAAUUCGCAGAUAUUGGGAAGAACACCGGUGGCGAAGGCGACCAACUGGACCGACAUUGACACUGAGGCACGAAAGCGUGGGUAGCAAACAGG
This 253-nucleotide ribosomal RNA is filed under the name uncultured bacterium. RNAcentral describes it as "partial 16S ribosomal RNA". It matches the Rfam family "Bacterial small subunit ribosomal RNA", at positions 524 to 776 of the family's 1533-position model. The record is from RNAcentral.